GGGGGCGUACUGGUUUCGACGGGGGUGUAGAAGCCGGAUAAGCGAGCCGCAGUUUGUCCAGUCUGCGUAAAAAGGGACACGUUAAAUAUAAACGCUAAAAAUAACAACAAUUUCGCAUUAGCUGCUUAAUUUCGCAGCCCGCGUGUCAGCCUUAGUUUACCUGUAGGCUAAGAACCUGGCAUCGACUAAUACAGGAAAACCAUGCGGGAGUUCCCGGUACCGUGUGGGACUAACGGGAUAGCUGAAGGAAAAGCCUGCUUCUGGGCGCUUCCGGAUGCGAAACACCAAAACAGAAGCUGCGCUCGGAGAAAUUCCCGUGGAAAUGCUUUCGGACGUGGGUUCGAUUCCCACCGCUUCCACCA
This 362-nucleotide transfer-messenger RNA is filed under the name Anaerovoracaceae. Its description in RNAcentral is "RGIG9096 sp017936025 Standard tmRNA". It matches the Rfam family "transfer-messenger RNA". Rfam says of the family: Bacterial tmRNA, also known as 10Sa RNA or SsrA, is named for its dual tRNA and mRNA-like properties. Lineage: Bacteria; Bacillati; Bacillota; Clostridia; Peptostreptococcales. RNAcentral also lists the same sequence under 1 other name. The record is from RNAcentral.